Molecule: long non-coding RNA, 1095 nt
Filed under: Zonotrichia albicollis (white-throated sparrow)
Lineage: Eukaryota; Metazoa; Chordata; Aves; Passeriformes; Passerellidae
Description: lncRNA (ENSZALG00000007500.1)
Rfam family: STAXI RNA (bases 548-697)
Source: RNAcentral
AUGGUUCCCUUGGGCAUUCCCCAAAUCCCUCACGGGGGUGAAAUGGUGCCCUUGGGCAUUCCCCAAAUCCCUCAGGGGUGGAAAUGGUGCCCUUGGGCAUUCCCCAGAUCCCCCAGGGGUGGAAAUGGUGCCCUUGGGCAUUCCCCAAAAUCCCCCAGAGGGGUGGAAAUGGUGCCCUUGGACAUUCCCCAGAUCCCCCAGGGGGGUGAAAUGGUGCCCUUGGGCAUUCCCCAAAUCCCUCAGAGGGGUGAAAUGGUGCCCUUGGGCAUUCCCCAAAUCCCCCAGGGGUGGAAAUGGUGCCCUUGGGCAUUCCCCAAAUCUGCCAGAGGGGUGGAAAUGGUUCCCUUGGGCAUUCCCCAAAUCCCUCAGGGGGGUGAAAUGAUGCCCUUGGGUAUUUCCCAAAUCCGUCAGGGGUGGAAAUGGUGCCCUUGGGCAUUCCCCAAAUCCCUCAAGGGGGUGGAAAUGGUGCCCUUGGGCAUUCCCCAAAUCCCUCAGGGGGGUGGAAAUGGUGCCCUUGGACAUUCCCCAAAUCCCCCAGGGGUGGAAAUGGUGCCCUUGGGCAUUCCCCAAAUCCCUCAGGGGUGGAAAUGGUUCCCUUGGGCAUUCCCCAAAUCCCCCAGGGGGGUGAAAUGGUGCCCUUGGGCAUUCCCCAAAUCCGUCAGGGGGGUGGAAAUGGUGCCCUUGGGCAUUCCCCAGAUCCCCCAGGGGUGGACAUGGUGCCCUUGGGCAUUCCCCAAAUCCCUCAGGGGGGUGAAAUGGUGCCCUUGGGCAUUCCCCAAAUCCCCCAGGGGGGUGAAAUGGUUCCCUUGGGCAUUCCCCAAAUCCCCCAGAGGUGGAAAUGGUGCCCUUGGGCAUUCCCCAAAUCCGCCAGAGGGGUGGAAAUGGUGCCCUUGGGCAUUCCUCAAAUCUGCCAGAGGGGUGGAAAUGGUGCCCUUGGGCAUUCCCCAAAUCCCUCAGGGGGGUGAAAUGGUGCCCUUGGGCAUUCCCCAAAUCCCCCAGGGGUGGAAAUGGUUCCCUUGGGCAUUCCCCAAAUCCCCCAGGGGUGGAAAUGGUGCCCUUGGGCAUUCCCCAAAUCCCNACCUCGUGUCCAUUUAG